RNAcentral lists this ribosomal RNA (159 nucleotides) under Zelkova serrata. RNAcentral describes it as "5.8S ribosomal RNA". It matches the Rfam family "5.8S ribosomal RNA". Rfam says of the family: 5.8S ribosomal RNA (5.8S rRNA) is a component of the large subunit of the eukaryotic ribosome. It is transcribed by RNA polymerase I as part of the 45S precursor that also contains 18S and 28S rRNA. The record is from RNAcentral. Lineage: Eukaryota; Viridiplantae; Streptophyta; Magnoliopsida; Rosales; Ulmaceae. RNAcentral also lists the same sequence under 5 other names.
UCGGCAACGGAUAUCUCGGCUCUCGCAUCGAUGAAGAACGUAGCGAAAUGCGAUACUUGGUGUGAAUUGCAGAAUCCCGUGAACCAUCGAGUCUUUGAACGCAAGUUGCGCCCGAAGCCAUCCGGCCGAGGGCACGUCUGCCUGGGCGUCACACACCGU